GUUGGUAGAAGGGUUUUGUUUGAUGGGUCUGUUUGUAAUGGGUGAGGUCCAGCUUUCAGCAGCGCCACUCUCCACUACAUCAGUGGAGCACUGGGACCCAGAGGUAUUGAGCUGCCAAAGGUCACAGAGGUUGCAUUGAAGUUGAGAGCUGAACUUGUGCUCCUAUGUCCUGAUCAAGCAGAGCUCCAAGAUGGAGUUUAAAACUAUGCUUGGAUUAGAAGAAAAGGAGAAAAAAAAAUAUGAGAAGAAGGAGGAAAAAAAAAGAAAAGGAAUUUGGCAAGUGACUAAUCCACAAUAUUGUCUAAUUUGGCAUAUGGAGAAACACCCCCCCAAGGUAUCUAAUACUGAGAUGUUUCAGCUCUGCUUUGCAUUGCCCACUCUUACUCUGCAUACUCUAAAUAUGUAUUAAGUCAGUCGAGCAUGGCAGCUGCUGAAGGAGUUGCCACAGCUUACUGGGUAAAUAAUGAUCAUUUUAUAAAUCACCUAAAUGCGUAUCUACCCCAAAGACUAUGGCGGUGGCUUAUGGGAAUGCUGAUUUGCAUUUUUAAAAUUUGCUUGGAUGUAUUUGCAAUUGCUGUGCCUCCCUCUGAUUGCUGCAUGCUCUAGUUUUAAGUUUAGGGCCCAAUUCUGCUUUCAGUUAUGAAUGGAUGAAUCUGGAGUGUCAUCACUGAAAUGAGCAACACAAAGUCAAACUGAGGAACUAGUCCGCUUGAUGAGAUUCCACUAGGAAUACCCUGUGAACACAAUUUGGCACUGACAUCUCUUGGUGAUUUUGCAUGGGGAAUAACUUCAUAAAUAAAACCUUGAGAACUGAGAAGCA
Molecule: long non-coding RNA, 820 nt
Filed under: Anas platyrhynchos platyrhynchos (common mallard)
Lineage: Eukaryota; Metazoa; Chordata; Aves; Anseriformes; Anatidae
Description: lncRNA (ENSAPLG00000031068.1)
Source: RNAcentral